CUACGGGUGGCUGCAGUGGGGAAUAUUGGACAAUGGGGGAAACCCUGAUCCAGCAAUGCCGCGUGUGUGAAGAAGGUCUGCGGGUUGUAAAGCACUUUCGGUUGGGAGGACUGCUUCUAGCACUAAUAUUGUUGGAAGUUGACGUUACCUUCAGAAGAAGCACCGGGUAACUCCGUGCCAGCAGCCGCGGUAAUACGAAGGGUGCAAGCGUUAAUCGGAAUUACUGGGCGUAAAGCGCGCGUAGGCGGCUAGAUCAGUCGGGUGUGAAAGCCCCGGGCUUAACCUGGGAACUGCAUCCGAUACUGUCUAGCUUGAGUACAGGAGAGGAGAGUGGAAUUCCACAUGUAGCGGUGAAAUGCGUAGAUAUGUGGAGGAACACCAAUGGCGAAGGCAGCUCUCUGGCCUGAUACUGACGCUGAGGUGCGAAAGCGUGGGGAGCAAACAGGAUUAGAUACCCCCGUAGUC
RNAcentral lists this ribosomal RNA (465 nucleotides) under uncultured bacterium. RNAcentral describes it as "partial 16S ribosomal RNA". It matches the Rfam family "Bacterial small subunit ribosomal RNA", at positions 339 to 795 of the family's 1533-position model. The record is from RNAcentral.